Molecule: ribosomal RNA, 510 nt
Filed under: uncultured bacterium
Lineage: Bacteria
Description: partial 16S ribosomal RNA
Source: RNAcentral
GGAGUUAGCCGGUGCUUCUUCUGUGAGUGAUGUCCUUCCUGCCGGCUAUUAACCCGCAGGCCUUCUUCCUCACUGAAAGUGCUUUACAACCCGAAGGCCUUCUUCACACACGCGGCAUGGCUGGAUCAGGGUUGCCCCCAUUGUCCAAUAUUCCCCACUGCUGCCUCCCGUAGGAGUCUGGGCCGUGUCUCAGUCCCAGUGUGGCUGAUCAUCCUCUCAGACCAGCUACGGAUCGUCGCCUUGGUGAGCCGUUACCUCACCAACCAGCUAAUCCGACAUAGGCUCAUCCGAUAGCGCGAGGCCCGAAGGUCCCCCGCUUUCCCCCGUAGGGCGUAUGCGGUAUUAGCCUGGGUUUCCCCAGGGUUAUCCCCCACUACCGGGCAGAUUCCUAUGCAUUACUCACCCGUCCGCCGCUCGCCACCAGGGAGCAAGCUCCCCGUGCUGCCGCUCGACUUGCAUGUGUAGCNCGCCGCCACGCGUCAUCUGACGCCGACGACUACAACUACUCGA